UUUAUUCAUCUCCAAACCCACACUUCGUGAAUGAGAGUAGCAUCGCCACCACCAUUCACAAUUCAAAUCGGGUUUGCCACCAGCUCCCCAAUCGAGAGCCCACUCGGUAAACCGCCAGCACUCAUGGAGUGUUUGACCCUUCUAGGCGAAUACUGUCGCACUAUCCUUAGCAAUGGCCCCCGCAGCGUGGGCUUGGCAUGAGCGCAAUCUCACCGCCCAAAGCAGUCAAGUCUUGAUCAUUACAGUGAUUUGGAUGGUCACCUGAAGGUUGUUGGUGAUUCUGGGUUUUGCGUCAUUACAUUUAUUUAAAGGCAUUUCUUUUCAAGUUUCUAACUUGCUUUGAUUUUUGUUGAGUAUUUUCGACUUGUGAACUGGGAUAUGAAAGCCAACAACUCGUUGAUUGGAGCAGACAAACAGCUUAAACUGCUUAUUUUGAUUUAGCUCGUAUAUUUGGGAGCCCAGAUAGAAAGCUCACUCCCCAGUCUUUUCUAGAUGGUAUAGAGCGCCUGAGCUUUGUUUGGUGCCAAGCAGAAUGCCCCAGGAGUAGAUGUUUGGACAAGUCAAUGGUAUUUCAGAUCUAGGAUUUAGUAGCAGCAAGUCAAUGUCGUUUUCGAGGAAAGGCCAUUUGGGCAUUCAUGUGGUAAAUUUCCUCUGUGGGGUUUCAGGUCUGAAGGAGGUGCUGCGGCUGGCAGAACAUUUCGAAAAAUAUAAUUGGGGACGAAAAGAUUGGACCGCGUGCUGUCCUCCUCGACAUUUAACAAGGAAGAUGAUAACAAUCUAAACCUUGUGAAAUUAGAUGUGGUAACUGGAGAGAAGAUGAGAAUCUGCUGUGUACAUCUAGCCACUGUUUCUGAUCUAGUCAAAGUUACUUUUGAGAUCAAGAAGAAAGUCAUAAUUGAGAGCAGAAUGGAUUACAACAAGCAUUCCAAGUAGAAACUAAGAUAAAAAUAUUUGGCAUCUCUUUUCCAUUGUUGUGAGGAUUCUUUAAUUGUGAUUUGGAAGUUGUUCAGUUAUACCUGGAUCAUACCUAUUUCUGAAGUUGAUAGUUUCUCUUUAUAAAAGUCAUUUUGAUUUGA
Long non-coding RNA from Olea europaea var. sylvestris, 1076 nucleotides. RefSeq lists it as uncharacterized. The record is from RefSeq and is a predicted model, not a curated record. The transcript is spliced from 2 exons. NCBI's taxonomy places the organism in Eukaryota, Viridiplantae, Streptophyta, Magnoliopsida, Lamiales, Oleaceae.